RNAcentral lists this non-coding RNA (27 nucleotides) under Cricetulus griseus (Chinese hamster). Lineage: Eukaryota; Metazoa; Chordata; Mammalia; Rodentia; Cricetidae. The record is from RNAcentral.
UUAUGGAAAAGGCAACAGCAGAAUGGU